RNAcentral lists this ribosomal RNA (545 nucleotides) under uncultured bacterium. Its description in RNAcentral is "bacterial SSU rRNA". It matches the Rfam family "Bacterial small subunit ribosomal RNA", at positions 356 to 896 of the family's 1533-position model. The record is from RNAcentral.
GGGGAAUAUUGCGCAAUGGGGGGAACCCUGACGCAGCCAUGCCGCGUGAAUGAAGAAGGCCUUAGGGUCGUAAAGUUCUUUCGGUAUUGAGGAAGGUUGAUGUGUUAAUAGCACAUCAAAUUGACGUUAAAUACAGAAGAAGCACCGGCUAACUCCGUGCCAGCAGCCGCGGUAAUACGGAGGGUGCGAGCGUUAAUCGGAAUAACUGGGCGUAAGGGCACGCAGGCGGUUAUUUAAGUGAGGUGUGAAAGCCCUGGGCUUAACCUAGGAAUUGCAUUUCAGACUGGGUAACUAGAGUACUUUAGGGAGGGGUAGAAUUCCACGUGUAGCGGUGAAAUGCGUAGAGAUGUGGAGGAAUACCGAAGGCGAAGGCAGCCCCUUGGGAAUGUACUGACGCUCAUGUGCGAAAGCGUGGGGAGCAAACAGGAUUAGAUACCCUGGUAGUCCACGCUGUAAACGCUGUCGAUUUGGGGGUUGGGGUUUAACUCUGGCGCCCGUAGCUAACGUGAUAAAUCGACCGCCUGGGGAGUACGGCCGCAAGGUUA